CUACGAGGACGACGCUGGCGGCGUGCUUAACACAUGCAAGUGGAGCGACGAACCGGGGCUUGCCCCGGGGCAGAGCCGCGAACGGGUGAGUAACACGUGGGUAACCUGCCUCAAUGAUUGGGACAACCCGGGGAAACUCGGGCUAAUACCAAAUGUGUUCACUCCUUCUAAGGGGAGUGAGGAAAGGAAGCUUCGGCCUCCGCAUUGAGAUGGGCCCGCGGCCCAUUAGCUUGUUGGUGAGGUAACGGCUCACCAAGGCUUCGAUGGGUAGCUGGUCUGAGAGGACGAUCAGCCACACUGGGACUGAGACACGGCCCAGACUCCUACGGGAGGCAGCAGUGGGGAAUCUUGCACAAUGCGCGAAAGCGUGAUGCAGCAACGCCGCGUGGGGAAGACGGCCUUCGGGUUGUAAACCCCUUUCAGUUGGGACGAAGCUUCGUCGGUGAAUAGCCGGUUGGAGUGACGGUACCUUCAGAAGAAGCCCCGGCUAACUACGUG
Molecule: ribosomal RNA, 498 nt
Filed under: uncultured bacterium
Lineage: Bacteria
Description: bacterial SSU rRNA
Rfam family: Bacterial small subunit ribosomal RNA
Source: RNAcentral